RNAcentral lists this ribosomal RNA (410 nucleotides) under uncultured microorganism. RNAcentral describes it as "bacterial SSU rRNA". It matches the Rfam family "Bacterial small subunit ribosomal RNA", at positions 509 to 917 of the family's 1533-position model. The record is from RNAcentral.
CAGCCGCCGCGGUAAUACGUAGGGUGCGAGCGUUAAUCGGAUUUACUGGGCGUAAAGCGUGCGCAGGCGGCCCGUUAAGACAGGUGUGAAAUCCCUGGGCUCAACCUAGGAAUUGCGCUUGUGACUGGCGGGCUCGAGUACGGUAGAGGGGGGUGGAAUUCCUGGUGUAGCAGUGAAAUGCGUAGAGAUCAGGAGGAACACCGAUGGCGAAGGCAGCCCCCUGGGCCUGUACUGACGCUCAUGCACGAAAGCGUGGGGAGCAAACAGGAUUAGAUACCCUGGUAGUCCACGCCCAAAACGAUGGGUACUAGCCGUUUGGUGCGCGAUAGCGCUGAGUGGCGAAGCUAACGCGUGAAGUACCCCGCCUGGGGAGUACGGCCGCAAGGUUGAAACUUAAAGGAAUUGGCGGG